This is a long non-coding RNA of Myotis davidii, 74 nucleotides long. RefSeq lists it as uncharacterized. NCBI's taxonomy places the organism in Eukaryota, Metazoa, Chordata, Mammalia, Chiroptera, Vespertilionidae. The record is from RefSeq and is a predicted model, not a curated record. The transcript has 3 exons.
UCUUUAAAUUUUUCACUGAAACUCUCCACCACUUUAGCUUCAUGUAAUGAGGUAUUUCUAAAAGAAUUUGUUCA